This 465-nucleotide ribosomal RNA is filed under the name uncultured bacterium. RNAcentral's name for it is "partial 16S ribosomal RNA". It matches the Rfam family "Bacterial small subunit ribosomal RNA", at positions 339 to 795 of the family's 1533-position model. The record is from RNAcentral.
CUACGGGGUGCUGCAGUGAGGAAUUUUGCGCAAUGGGGGAAACCCUGACGCAGCAACGCCGCGUGAGUGAUGAAGGCUUUCGGGUCGUAAAGCUCUGUCAAGUGGGUAGAACCUGCAGUAUGCUAAUAUCAUAUUGCACUGACGGUACCACUGAAGGAAGCACCGGCUAACUCCGUGCCAGCAGCCGCGGUAAUACGGGGGGUGCAAGCGUUAUUCGGAAUCAUUGGGCGUAAAGAGCACGUAGGCGGCCUGGUAAGUCAGAUGUGAAAGCCCUGGGCUUAACCCGGGAAGUGCAUUUGAGACUGUCAGGCUUGAGUAUGGGAGAGGGAAGUGGAAUGCCUGGUGUAGAGGUGAAAUUCGUAGAUAUCAGGAGGAACACCGGUGGCGAAGGCGACUUCCUGGACCAAUACUGACGCUGAGGUGCGAAGGCGUGGGGAGCAAACAGGAUUAGAUACCCGGGUAGUC